This is a non-coding RNA of Triticum aestivum (bread wheat), 125 nucleotides long. NCBI's taxonomy places the organism in Eukaryota, Viridiplantae, Streptophyta, Magnoliopsida, Poales, Poaceae. The record is from Rfam.
CUAAUACUCCCUCCGUCCGGAAAUACUUGUCGAAGAAAUGGAUGAAUCUAGACGUAUUAUAGUUAUAGGUGCACCCAAUUUUAUCCAUCUUUCCGACAAGUAUUUUCGGACGGAGGGAGUAUGUG